AAAGAGUGUAGUUUUGUACUGUUAUAUCCAACGUUUGACAGUUCAUCUUAUUUAAAAACAAUAUGAUUAUUAUUUUUGUUAUUAUUCGUUGAUAAAGAAUAAAAUAUAGUACUUUAUGUGUGACUAUUUUUUUAUUUUUAUAAAUUUUUAAAUAAGACAUACGGUUAAACGUUAGACACGAAAACCCACAACCACACUUAAA
MicroRNA precursor from Oryza rufipogon (brownbeard rice), 202 nucleotides. It matches the Rfam family "MIR812 microRNA precursor family". NCBI's taxonomy places the organism in Eukaryota, Viridiplantae, Streptophyta, Magnoliopsida, Poales, Poaceae. The record is from Rfam.